Small nuclear RNA from Ictidomys tridecemlineatus (thirteen-lined ground squirrel), 97 nucleotides. The record is from Ensembl. Lineage: Eukaryota; Metazoa; Chordata; Mammalia; Rodentia; Sciuridae.
GAUUGUACAUCUUCUUCUCAUACUAAAAUCGGAAUGAUACAGAGAAAAUUAGCAUGGCCCUUGUACAAGGAUGACACACAAAUUCAUGGCUUUUUUU